RNAcentral lists this ribosomal RNA (253 nucleotides) under uncultured bacterium. RNAcentral describes it as "partial 16S ribosomal RNA". It matches the Rfam family "Bacterial small subunit ribosomal RNA", at positions 524 to 776 of the family's 1533-position model. The record is from RNAcentral.
UACGAGGGGGGCAAAUGUUGUUCGGAAUCACUGGGCGUAAAGGGAGCGUAGGCGGGUGUUUAAGUUAGGUGUUUAAUCCCAGGGCCCAACCCUGGUCGUGCACUUAAAACUGGACAUCUUGAAUAGGGGAGAGGUCAGUGGAAUUGGGGGUGUAGCGGUGGAAUGCGUAGAGAUCCCCAAGAACACCAGUUGCGAAGGCGGCUGACUGGACCCUGAUUGACGCUGAGGCUCGAAAGCAUGGGGAGCAAACAGG